Molecule: long non-coding RNA, 328 nt
Filed under: Nicotiana benthamiana
Lineage: Eukaryota; Viridiplantae; Streptophyta; Magnoliopsida; Solanales; Solanaceae
Description: long non-coding RNA (NBEN_LNC003709)
Source: RNAcentral
UUGGAUUUGGGGAAAAUUAGUUUGGGAUUUAGGUAGAGGAGGGUGAGACGGUUGUGGGAUGUGAUUUUGGUGGGGUUUGGGUGGUGGCGCCGCCGUGGCCAGCGGAUCAGUCUCCCUUUCAAACAAAUAUUCGAGGAUUUUGGCUGGUGUUUGAGGGGCAUUGGUUACAGAAAUGGAAAGAGGAGGUUAAGAAGAUGAAGUGGUGUAAUUUCGGGGGCCAUCAGAGCAUCGCCGCCGGCGGAGGCGAUUUUUGGCCGGCGCGGACGGCAGAAGGUUGACGGAGGACGGUGGCGUUAUGUCGGUGUAUGUUGGGGUGUUUUGAGAGGUG